This 218-nucleotide unclassified non-coding RNA is filed under the name Hevea brasiliensis (rubber tree). The record is from RNAcentral. Lineage: Eukaryota; Viridiplantae; Streptophyta; Magnoliopsida; Malpighiales; Euphorbiaceae.
GUUUUAUAUUAUGACAAAUUUAAACUCUGAAUUCUUCAAGAAUUACACAAAUUGAAUGCAUAUGGAUGAUCAUAAUCAUGCACCAUUGUUGACCAUUUCAAAAGUAUGUUUUUGAAGGUUAGUCAUGAUGGGACAUGUCAAUAUCAUGUUGGAAUCGUGUUGACAUGAUCUUGAAUGCAAUCAUUGUUAAGGCAAGCCAAAACCCUCUUGGUUAUUAA